This is a long non-coding RNA of Haliotis rubra (blacklip abalone), 103 nucleotides long. RefSeq lists it as uncharacterized. The record is from RefSeq and is a predicted model, not a curated record. NCBI's taxonomy places the organism in Eukaryota, Metazoa, Mollusca, Gastropoda, Lepetellida, Haliotidae. The transcript is spliced from 3 exons.
CGACUCAGACCGUGGCAAAGAUGUCCCCACACAAGGACUGAGGGUGUUGGUAGCUGUACACACAUAUGUCCCUGCCUGUGAUCUCUGUACGUUGCUGAUGGUC